GAUGAAGAACGUAGCGAAAUGCGAUACUUGGUGUGAAUUGCAGAAUCCCGUGAACCAUCGAGUCUUUGAACGCAAGUUGCGCCCGAAGCCACUAGGCCGAGGGCACGCCUGCCUGGGCGUCACACGUCGUUGCCCCCCCAUCUACUCCUUCGGGAUUGCGGGGGGCGGAUGAUGGCCUCCCGUGCGCCUCGUCGCGCGGUUGGCAUAAAUGCCAAGUCCUCGGCGACGCACGCCACGACAAUCGGUGGUUGCGAAACCUCGGUUGCCCGUCGUGUGCGGUCGUCGCGCAUCGAGGGCUCGAAAAAAUUGCCGGGCUCCGGCUCGGCUUUCAACGCGACCCCAGGUCAGGCGGGGUUACCCGCUGAAUUUAAGCAUAUCAAUAAGCGGAGGA
Molecule: unclassified non-coding RNA, 391 nt
Filed under: soil metagenome
Description: partial contains 5.8S ribosomal RNA, internal transcribed spacer 2, and large subunit ribosomal RNA
Rfam family: 5.8S ribosomal RNA (bases 1-122)
Source: RNAcentral